UACCAGCUCUCCGAGUGGUAGGGACGAUUAUUGGGCUUAAAGCGUCCGUAGCCGGCUUAGCAAGUCUCCUGUUAAAUUCAGCGACCUAAUCGUUGAGCCGCGGGAGACACUACUAGGCUAGGAGGCGGGAGAGGCCGACGGUAUUCUCGGGGUAGGGGUGAAAUCCUAUAAUCCCGGGAGGACCACCAGUGGCGAAGGCUGUCGGCUAGAACGCGCUCGACGGUGAGGGACGAAAGCUGGGGGGAGCGGACCGGAUUAGAUACCCGGGUAGUCCCAGCUGUAAACGAUGCGGGCUAGGUGUUGGGGUGGCUACGUGCCACUUCAGUGCCGCAGGGAAGCCAUUAAGCCCGCCGCCUGGGGAGUACGGCCGCGAGGCUAGAAACUUAAAGGAAUUGGGCGGGGGAGCACCACAAGGCGUGAAGCGUUGCGGUUC
This 433-nucleotide ribosomal RNA is filed under the name uncultured archaeon. Its description in RNAcentral is "bacterial SSU rRNA". It matches the Rfam family "Archaeal small subunit ribosomal RNA", at positions 474 to 903 of the family's 1478-position model. The record is from RNAcentral.